AAGAGUGAACUAGCUAACUGAAAUCACAGGAUCCACUACGUGUGGUGAAUGUUAUAACGUAAGGGAAAAAAAUGAUAUUACCUUACUAUUAGUGUUGUCCAAAACUGGUGCCAGAAGACUCGGUAAGGCCAGAGACGCAAACGUUAGUCGUCCUAAUCAGGCGUAAAGGGUAUGUAGGCUGCUUUAAAAGUUUAGUUUUAUAUUUUAAUAGCUCAGUUUAAAKAUAUUGAWAUUUCAAUAUCUUAAACAGUAAAAUAUACAAUGAAUUAAAGCUAGGAUCAAAUUGAGGAUAAUUUAAAUAAUACUUAGUGUAGGGUUUACAUCUGGUGAUACUAAGGGGAGUACUAACGGUGAAAGCUUUUUAUCUAGAAAUGAUUGACGCUGAGAAACGAAGGUGAGAAUAGGAAAUAGGAUUAGAUACCCAGAUACCUCUCACAGUCAACGAUGAAUGGUGGUUGUUAGUUAGUUUUAUUUAACUGAUAACGAUGUUAACACGAUAACCAUUCCGCCUUGCGAGUACGGUUGCAAAACUGAAACCAAAAAAAUUAGUCGGUCUCGAAGCAAACGAANUGAAGCAUGUAA
RNAcentral lists this ribosomal RNA (582 nucleotides) under Entoloma alboumbonatum. RNAcentral describes it as "SSU rRNA". It matches the Rfam family "Bacterial small subunit ribosomal RNA", at positions 379 to 944 of the family's 1533-position model. The record is from RNAcentral. Lineage: Eukaryota; Fungi; Basidiomycota; Agaricomycetes; Agaricales; Entolomataceae.